GCACGCACGUGACGAGGAGUCGUGACAACGAUCGUGUACAGGACUCGCAGGCGAGGGUCACGACAGUCACUGCCGUCUGCGAGGGCGAAGCGCUCACUCUCCUCCGGUGCUGCUGCCGUUGCUGUGUGUGUGUGUGGAAGCCAGCAGCCAUUGUGGCUGUCGCCGGUGCUGCUGGUGGUGAUGCUGCUGCUGCUGCUGCUGUGAACUGCGAUCGAUGCGCGACCUACAGCCUGCAACGUCAGACUGGGAUUACGUGUGAGAGAACAUCUACACCCGCCACACACACACAAGGCCAAACGGUGUGUGCGUGUGUGUAUGCGUGCGUGUGCGUCGUUUGGCGGGUGGGGAUCGUCCUAACCCUCCAUCCCCGCCGCAAGUGUGACGGGUCCAGCUUCCGACGGUCACAGACUGGUCGUUGUGGGUGGUGCUGGUGGUGCAAGGCGGUCGUGAUCGUCGCGGCAGCGUCAGGCGAGAGAGAGAGUGAGAGAGAGAGGUCCCCCUGCUCAGCACGACAAGGGGAGGCCAGGCGAGGUGAGGAGCCAUCAGGGACUGCUUGUGGAGACACGUCACAGCUUAACCACUCACCAGUGGCGGCGCACGGGAGGAAAUCAAUGCUGCCUGCAGACACGACGUGGUGAGCACGUGAAAUGCGGUGAAGCACAGGCGUGAAAGGUUACAGUGACACGGCCUUGACCUGGAGACCAUGAGGCCAGAGAGGAGAUAAGAGGUCAGAGGGCGUGGUGCAGCAACAGCUGCCUGUGGCGACAAACAACCUCCAGUGCAGCAGACCUCCAGCGCAAGCUACCCUCGACAGCAGCCUUCCACAAAACCUUAUAAAUCAUUUCUUGUUAGCAGGUGGCGUUCCCAAACUACAACAACAACAACAACAACAACAACAACAACAACAACAACAACAACAACAACAGUUCUGUGAGCGCUGGGUGUGCUUCCUUCCUUCUGUAGGAAACCGGAAGUUGAAGCUAACUAGCUAGAAUCCAGCACGGAUCUCCUCUCGGAAUCUUGUUAGCAUCUUUGUGAGAAGACAUCCUGAAUUCCUUGAGAACUAUUCAUAUGAAGAACUGUUGUCAUCAAGGCCCUAGUCACGUGAUCAGAUAACUUUGGAUGUUUGCGAAGCAGCUUUUGUCUGUGUGACAAACUCGAUUAUAGUACCUGUAGCAUCAAGGAUAUACAUGUCACAAAGAUAUAGACA
This is a long non-coding RNA of Pomacea canaliculata, 1210 nucleotides long. RefSeq lists it as uncharacterized. The transcript has 3 exons. NCBI's taxonomy places the organism in Eukaryota, Metazoa, Mollusca, Gastropoda, Architaenioglossa, Ampullariidae. The record is from RefSeq and is a predicted model, not a curated record.